CCUACGGGAGGCAGCAGUGGGGAAUUUUGGACAAUGGGCGCAAGCCUGAUCCAGCAAUGCCGCGUGCAGGAUGAAGGCCUUCGGGUUGUAAACUGCUUUUGUACGGAACGAAACGGUGAGCUCUAAUACAGUUUGCUAAUGACGGUACCGUAAGAAUAAGCACCGGCUAACUACGUGCCAGCAGCCGCGGUAAUACGUAGGGUGCGAGCGUUAAUCGGAAUUACUGGGCGUAAAGCGUGCGCAGGCGGUGAUGUAAGACAGAUGUGAAAUCCCCGGGCUCAACCUGGGACCUGCAUUUGUGACUGCAUCGCUAGAGUACGGUAGAGGGGGAUGGAAUUCCGCGUGUAGCAGUGAAAUGCGUAGAUAUGCGGAGGAACACCGAUGGCGAAGGCAAUCCCCUGGACCUGUACUGACGCUCAUGCACGAAAGCGUGGGGAGCAAACAGGAUUAGAUACCCUGGUAGUCCACGCCCUAAACGAUGUCAACUGGUUGUUGGGUCUUCACUGACUCAGUAACGAAGCUAACGCGUGAAGUUGACCGCCUGGGGAGUACGGCCGCGAAGGUUGAAACGUCAAAUGAAUUGACGG
RNAcentral lists this ribosomal RNA (587 nucleotides) under uncultured bacterium. RNAcentral describes it as "bacterial SSU rRNA". It matches the Rfam family "Bacterial small subunit ribosomal RNA", at positions 338 to 916 of the family's 1533-position model. The record is from RNAcentral.